GACGAACGCUGGCGGCGUGCUUAACACAUGCAAGUCGAACGGAAAGGCCCCUUUGGGGGUACUCGAGUGGCGAACGGGUGAGUAACACGUGAGUAACCUGCCCUUGACUUCGGGAUAACUUCAGGAAACUGGGGCUAAUACCGGAUAGGAAUCCUUGCUGCAUGGUGGGGGUUGGAAAGCUUCGGCGGUUUUGGAUGGACUCGCGGCUUAUCAGCUUGUUGGUGGGGUAGUGGCUUACCAAGGCUUUGACGGGUAGCCGGCCUGAGAGGGCGACCGGCCACAGUGGAACAGAAUAGAGCCCGACACCCCGACGGGGGGCAAAAGGGGGAAAUAUGGCAAAAGGGGGGGACCUGUGGUACAGAACGCCCGGGGGGGGAGUGAGGCCCUUGGUGUUGAACACCGUUUAAAGCAGGGGAAGAGCGUGGGGUGAGGGUACCUGAAAAAGAAGACCCGGCAAACCACGUG
RNAcentral lists this ribosomal RNA (465 nucleotides) under uncultured bacterium. RNAcentral describes it as "partial 16S ribosomal RNA". It matches the Rfam family "Bacterial small subunit ribosomal RNA", at positions 28 to 507 of the family's 1533-position model. The record is from RNAcentral.